UACGUAGGGUGCAAGCGUUGUCCGGAAUUAUUGGGCGUAAAGAGCUCGUAGGCGGUGUGUCGCGUCUGCUGUGAAAACUCAGGGCUCAACUCUGAGCUUGCAGUGGGUACGGGCACACUAGAGUGCUGUAGGGGAGACUGGAAUUCCUGGUGUAGCGGUGAAAUGCGCAGAUAUCAGGAGGAACACCGAUGGCGAAGGCAGGUCGCUGGGCCACUACUGACGCUGAGGCGCGACAGCGUGGGGAGCAAACAGG
RNAcentral lists this ribosomal RNA (253 nucleotides) under uncultured bacterium. RNAcentral describes it as "partial 16S ribosomal RNA". It matches the Rfam family "Bacterial small subunit ribosomal RNA", at positions 524 to 776 of the family's 1533-position model. The record is from RNAcentral.